CUGCUAACGUGUCUACUGUGAGACACAGCCACUUAUCAAUCCCCAUCCCAUCUAACAUGUAAUAAAACAAAAACUAAAUAUAUGAUAUUAAAAAAAAAGAAAAAAAAAAGAAGAGGCAUAUAGCCUUCCCCAUCACUCUCACCGACGCACAGUCGCACCACCCGAUCCCCCUCCCUUUCUUCGUCCUCUCUCUCUCUCUCUCUCCCUCUCUCCCUCUCUCCGUCCCUUUCUCCCCCAUCCCAUCUUCUCGAGUUCUCUGAUUCCCCCCCCCCUCUUCGCGAUCUACCUCUCCUUCGAGAGGCUUCUCGAGUCCAGGCCCUGCGAUGCCGAUCAGACCUAGCUCAUCGAUCGCUCUCUCCAAUUGGGCUCUGUGCUCCUCGAGGCUGCUAAUCGUUCUGCGAGAAAACCAGCCUCCAAGCACAACUCUCUCACCUGUACUCUCCCCUCAAACCUCCCUCCAAGCACAAUUUGUAUAUAUUGAUAGGGAUGGGGAGCUGGGAGGAUAGUGGGACGGAGAGAGAGAGGGGGGGACGAAGAGAGGGAGAGUGCUCUGGUGGGGAAGAGCCAGGUGCGCCGCUAUCACGAACACAUUCAGACCACGAGCUGACGCAAGUGGAAAUCAUGCUUCUCUGUUUUUCUAGUUCUGUAGUCGCCGCUAAUCAUGCUGCUUUGAUUUUCCAUUGAUGUUUGCUUUGUUACUCUCAAAAAGUUUCCUUCCUUUAUUUUUUAUUUAUUUCGAUAAUGAAAUUUGAAAUUUGAAUUGUGUGUUGCUUUGUUACUCUCAAUAAAUCUUCCUUCUUUUUCUUUUUUCUUACAGGAAUUGGGUUUUGGUGUUUCACCAACGAGCUGACGCCAGAGAGAGAGGGAUGGGGUUGGUGUGGGUGCGAUUGAGGGGUGAACAAGGGGUGCUGGGUUUGUUGGGCUGAGGAAGGGCUGGGAUUUUUUAAGAGUGAGGGAGUGACCACAGUUUUGAUAUAUUGGUGUCUAUUUUUAUUGGAGCUGAUUUUGUUUGCCUCACCUUACCAGUGGGUAUAUUCCUGAAUUCUCAGAGGUUUAGUAAUUUGCUUUUACAAAUACCAUGAUCGUUUUGGGAAAUCUCUCUUUCUGGAGGCAGAUUCCAGAGCCGUUUAAGGGAAAUUCGUAGUCGAGCUACCGAUGUUCAUGAUAAGGAAAAGGGAAUCAAGAUUACUGAGAAGGAUUGGGAAAAGUUGAAUGUACAAUUGCUUCAUACAACAAUUUUCCUACUGCUGCUGGAUUGGCUUCCUCAGCAGCUGGUUUUGCUUGUCUUGUUUUUGCCCUCGCAAAGUUAAUGAAUGCGAAUGAAGAUCACAGCCAGCUUUCUGCUACUGGAAUCAAUCUGAGAUUUUAAUAAGCCAUCGCAAUCUGACUAAGUUUUACAGAAUACUUAACACAAUAGUAAGUGCUGAUAUCGACCCUGAAGAACGUCUCCUUGACAGUAGCUUAAUUGAUUUUGACAGAGCAAGCCUCCUUUAUGCCAUUGGGAAUAAUAAUGCGUCCAUUGAUCAGCCCGCCCACAUUUUCCGAGCCAUUUGCCUGGCUGCAACCCCAGACGACUACUACGAAACUCAUUCCCUGCCUUUUGGGUCGUUGAUCACUAGGUUUGCCAUGGCGUCUAAAGUGCGAAUUGAUCCUACGGAUCAGCUUAAACAACUUAUGCCACCUAUCAACUAGAUGAUGUUUCAUAAUGAUCAGACAGAUGAAACAAGUGAAGAAUCUGUUGUUGGAUUUACUCCUCCUCCUGCACCUGCUUCGGAGCCAAGUCCUCCACAGCUUAAUCAGCCUCCUCUGUCCCAGACAAAAAGCUUUGAGAAGUUUUCUAUAAAGCUGAGAAAGCGCAUGGCCCGACUUGCCAAUGAGGUCGUUAAGCUCACCGGUUGCGUACAUUGGGGCAUCCCAUUGAAAGAGCCAUUUACAGGUCAUUCUAAUGUUGAGCUUGCUUUAGUUUAUAUGUGUUUUUGUCCUUUUCAGCUUUGUUAAACCCUGUCUUCAACUUUCAUUUCUAAUCCAUUGAUUAUCUAUGAGUUGUUAGGCUUUUGUUUCCAUUUGUUUAUUCAGUUGUUCUUCUUUUAUACCCUCUCAUUUGUUUCUGCUCCUCUGUCUUAUGAUUUUCCACUUCCACUUAUCACUCCCUUGUCAUACACACUUGCAGUACAAGAUAAAUAGAAUCUGAAGUUUGCCUUGUUCUGGAUGAUAAAUAGAAUUCUAUUUAGUUAUAUAUUUUCAAAGAUACAAGUUAAAUAAAGACGAUGUAGCGAGCACCAUAAGCUUCAAAAGAAUUUUCCUAGUUCUAGGCUUAAGUAUAUUUUUUAUCUAAAGGACCUCUGAGUUGACUGCAGGAACUGAUUCAGCCUAAUACUGUAAAAGAAUUGUCCCUUGAAUAUCUUUUUAUGUACAGCUGGUAAGAAAAUUUUCGGGUUUUUACUGGUGGAAGGAAAGUAAUAAACUUGAAGUUAGCAACUAGCACUGAAUGCUUCUGUGGUUAGUGAUUUAGUAUUAAAGAGAAGCUCUGUUUCUGAUCAUAUAUGUAAGAUUGAUUUUGAUUGCAUUAAUUAGUAAAAAAGAUAAGCUCUGUUUCAGAUCAUAUAUGUAUUCUUUUAGUCAACUAAUGAGAUGGGGUGGUUAACAUUUAUUUAAGUGUGACUGGAACAGUUUUGAGUGAUGAAUUUUCCUAUUUUCACUAGGGAGCUGCCUUUGAAUUUGAUAUUUUCGGGAGUGAUUCGAUGCUUUUCUCUCGUUUGAAAACUUAACAAAAUUAAAUAUUCACAAUAUUCCCCAUCGUCUGUAUAAUAAAAAUGAAACUGCUUCUACAUGUGAUUAUGAACUCCAACACAUCUUGUGUCCUUGUGGUUGUAAUAGUCAGCAGUUAAUGCACUUCUUUGCUGCUUUAGUGGAUGUUUUUUAUGCUUUA
Prunus persica (peach) is the source of this 2929-nucleotide long non-coding RNA. RefSeq lists it as uncharacterized. The transcript is spliced from 4 exons. NCBI's taxonomy places the organism in Eukaryota, Viridiplantae, Streptophyta, Magnoliopsida, Rosales, Rosaceae. The record is from RefSeq and is a predicted model, not a curated record.